Long non-coding RNA from Triticum aestivum (bread wheat), 3154 nucleotides. RefSeq lists it as uncharacterized. Lineage: Eukaryota; Viridiplantae; Streptophyta; Magnoliopsida; Poales; Poaceae. The transcript is spliced from 3 exons. The record is from RefSeq and is a predicted model, not a curated record.
GUGGGUUGUUCCGUCAGUUGCUGGAUAUGAGCCGUGGCACAGGACGUCUGCAAUCAAUUGAGCCGUGGCACAGGAUGGUGCAUCGGGACGUGCGGCGACAUGUAGUUUCUCCGACGACCGCAGAUGGAAUCGAACGGAUUGGAGUUCUUACUCGAUCCGGUAGAUAGGUUUACUCUGAGAUCUAAGGGAGGAGUUCGCCGACAGCUUGCAGCAGCCGGAUCCUGAGCUCCUGGCGCUGCUCCCACGGGGUGCAGCCGAAUCCUCGGCUGGAGGCUGGAGCUGAAUUUUGUGGCGCCACCGGGUGUGCGCUCAGUGCAGGACUUCAGACGGAAAGCGGAUAAGAAGUGCGGCGAAGGAAGAAUGCAUCGUUGACGCAGUCGGUUCAGUCCACGGGGAAGGUGAAGCCGGAAGGACCGGGCUGGACGAAGAGGUAACUUGGUUGCUGCUCGUAUCUCUGAACCACGGAUUCUGUAGAGUGUGUGCUGACUGCUGAGUAGAAUUGCACUCUGGUGCAACGUGUUCCAGCAAAGGAGUAUAUUGUCAUGCUUGGGGUGCAGCAAAAUAAAUAUACCAUAUUUCGUGGUUUGCUUACUCCUGAUUUAGGCUUGGUUUGUUAACUGUAGAAAUGGUUUCAGGCUUUGCCUUGGUAGUGCACCUCCAGACAGAAUUCCCUGAGCUUCCCGAAUGAACGCUCAUGAGCAAUCGAUCAGGAAAUAUGCAGAGGAACCAUCAGACUGUAAUUAGGCCGGAACUGGGAAUUAGUUCCAACUCGCUGUGUGAGACAUGUGACUUCUACAACAUGUAUUCUUCAGAGAUAGGGUUUGAUAUACGUUAUGGGAGGAGCAGACUAAACCCAGAGAUGACUAAAUCCAUGCAGGAGAUUGUUUGCGGGUGUUCGGCGAGUCUUGCGUACUUUGUUGCUAAAUUAUGUCACUAUUUGUAAGUGCAUCCUAGAGUAUGGAUCUAGUGGUGUUCCAAUUUGUUUAUGCAAGGGAAGCUAGAGGCACAGAACAGGCUGUCUUGCAGAUCAGACUGUUCCUCUGUUGUUCCAAUUUGUUCGUACUUUUGUUGCUGAAUUUGUUUAUACUGGACCAAUCUGUAGGACAUGCUGUCCGACCUUUUUUGUAGGAGUGAACAAUCAUUUUCAGAGCAUUAUAUUGGUUGGAUUUUUUAUGAGGGUUGAGCAAGUCGAGAGUCUUGAGUGGGUAUUUUCUGAGUUCCUAAAUACGAUGGGCAGGUUGGUGCCGAAGUCCAUCGUCACAGAUCAAAACAGAGUCAUGGAGGUAGCUAUCAGCAAAGUAUAUCCAGGGAAAUGAACAACUGUAGCUCACCUUACUGGUAGGUCUGCUCUUAAUAUUUAUUAUUUCAUUGCUUGCAGUUCUUUCGUUAGAUCUGUUGUGUGGUUAUACAAUGUGUAUGUGUAUUUGAGGAAAAUGAAAAUUGACUGCAAGUGAAGUCUUGGAUAUGUUUAGCUCAAAUUUGCUGAACUGAGCACUGGCGUAUUGGCCGAAGAGUUCAGUCCUUUAAAUUGUUUCUGAAAAUAGUUAGAACUAAAAGAUCGCCUUCAUUUAAUAAUGAUUUCGAGAGUACUGUUGUUUUUAACAAUACUAGUUUAGCAGCAUGUUAUGUUGUCAUGCACUUUUUGGAAACAGUUCCUUGGUGACCUAGGAACACUAGAAGCUGGAGAGAACGGAGAAGCCCAGUUUUUAGGAUCAAAAGAGAAACUGAAAGUUGUGGACUUGAUCGGUCGCUCUAUUGCGUUGUACGCGAGGGACAGAUGAGGCCUGGGCAUAGUCGCCAGAAGUGAGGGUGUUGGGAAGAACUACAAGAAGCUCUACACCUGCGAUGGUGUCACCAUUUGGAAAUCGAGCCAAAUUCACCGCCAUGGAAUUUUCACCCGCAAUAUGUUAUACACAGAAGUAAAUGUAGAAACAAGCAACCAGUUACUGAACAUUUGGAAAAAGCGUGAAUACAUUUGAUGAAUAAAGCUUGUUCUGAUGGAGCUUGCCAAUGGUUUUCUUCAGUAAAUGCUACUCAUGUGCUGCUGCUACGCAGCUGAUUCUUCAACCGUGCUUACGAAGGGGCCAGGGCCCAACUGUUUGCUCCCAGACCUCUGACUAAUACAGUAAUACUAGGAGAAGAGCUCAGAUUAGUGGCAGCCAUGAGAGAACCAGGGCAGGGCUCUCCGUACUCCGGCGUGUUCUGAGCGACCUUGGUUUUCAUUUUGAUCUUGUAGGCAAGUUUCUGGUUUGCACUGCUUAAGAGCAGGGUGCUCGGCUCGACGAUGACGUCCGUGCCUUUGAACUGUGUGACCUUGAUAUGGUAACCCGAGGACGGAUGGCCGACAUUUGUCACGGUGCGGCGCACCAGCAGGGUUGAUGGCUGGUCGGUGAAGACUGCGGAGAUGGCCUUGAGCUGAAUGUGUGCUUGUCUUUCAUGUUGGACUUCCUGGUGAAGGCCUUGAGCUGCUUCGGCGUCAGGUUCUGCGUGCGCAUGAGCUCCGAUCCAGUAGCCUGUAGCCGUACUGGCCAAUGUAAACCAGCCCGUGCUAGAAUGGCGUGGACGCCUCGCCGGUCGCCGCGUCCUUCAGCACACGGUAGGAGUUGUCGUGGCGUACGCGAUGGUCAUCCGCGCCGGGCUCUGGUCGGGAUGGAGCAGCGCGGCUACGCCGGCCGCGUUUGGACUCCCGUCACAGACCAGCGGCUCAGGCUAGCUCAGGAAAUGCUCCCGAAUGUGAUCCAAACGUCUGGUCCGGCUGCACCGUCGGGUCACCUAACCUUCAUAAUGACUGGCUGUAUUAUUUAUUUCCCAACCAUACGGUGUGGAUACGACCUAUAAUACAUGUGAAGCCUCGAAUCUCAAUGUGUAUGAGCGGCUGUGAUAUAGGGAGCAUCUGAGCCCGAGCUCAGAAACUGAUUUUCCUAUAUGGCAUUCAUAAAUAGAAAAGCAAUAUAUGGCAUGCACUUCAUAAAUAGAAAAGCAAGAACUAAGAAUAAAGAUGCAAGACGGUACGAGAGAAGGAUUGCCUUUUUUAAUUCUGGUGAGGUCCGUGGAGAGUUUGUCCACCUGCUCCUGAUUGUACUCCCAUGUUCAUGGAGCAGCGUCUGCCCUGGUCUAUCAUCAAUUGGAUGUGUCGUUCGUCGUCAUCUUGGUG